This 428-nucleotide long non-coding RNA is filed under the name Panicum hallii. RNAcentral describes it as "long non-coding RNA (PHAL_LNC000068)". Lineage: Eukaryota; Viridiplantae; Streptophyta; Magnoliopsida; Poales; Poaceae. The record is from RNAcentral.
CAUUCCUGGUUAUAUCAUAACGAAGUAUAAGAGUUCUUUACAAGCAGUUUUGGAUUUGUUGAGAUAGAAGCUAUCAGCUUCAUAGUCUAAGAUAGAAAUUUAAAGUAUAAAUACAGUUAUUCUAGCGAAACAAAAGACUUCUGCAAGGGGCUUGUCUUAGUCCACAAAAGGGGUGGAGAUGGCCUGUAAUAUUAUAAUACAAGAAGUAUUAGUACUAUAAUUAAGUUAGAGAUCUUGCAAAAGUAAUAAAAUCUGAAUUUGGUUAUUUUAAGUUGUUGAUAUAGAAACUUACGAAGAAGUUAGGAUCCCUGCCAGAUUUGGUGCUGGAGCAACAUUACUGGCAUCAUUAGUAAAAUGGUUAUUAGAAAGGUAUUUUUGAAGAAAUAAAUUACUAAUAAGUAAAUCUAAUUACUAUUAUGAGCAGGCCC